GUAUAUUUACAUUUUUAGGUGCCAAAAACUUACCUCGGCAUGUUGGUUGGCUCAAUCUGUGCACUGAUGGGUGUACUGACGAUUGCGUUGCCGGUGCCGGUAAUUGUAUCUAAC
Regulatory RNA element from Ancylostoma ceylanicum, 114 nucleotides. It matches the Rfam family "Potassium channel RNA editing signal". Rfam says of the family: This family represents a group of sequences related to the human potassium channel Kv1.1 hairpin element which directs the efficient modification of an adenosine to inosine by an adenosine deaminase acting on RNA (ADAR). The ADAR modification causes an isoleucine/valine recoding event which lies in the ion-conducting pore of the potassium channel. Lineage: Eukaryota; Metazoa; Nematoda; Chromadorea; Rhabditida; Ancylostomatidae. The record is from Rfam.